RNAcentral lists this ribosomal RNA (253 nucleotides) under uncultured bacterium. Its description in RNAcentral is "partial 16S ribosomal RNA". It matches the Rfam family "Bacterial small subunit ribosomal RNA", at positions 524 to 776 of the family's 1533-position model. The record is from RNAcentral.
UACAGAGACUGCAAGCGUUAUUCGGAUUCACUGGGCGUAAAGGGUGCGCAGGCGGCCGUGUGUGUCAGGUGUGAAAGCCCGGAGCUUAACUCCGGAAUUGCGCCUGAAACUACAUGGCUAGAGCAUUGGAGAGGGUAGCGGAAUUCACGGUGUAGCAGUGAAAUGCGUAGAUAUCGUGAGGAACACCAGAGGCGAAGGCGGCUACCUGGACAAUUGCUGACGCUCAGGCACGAAAGCGUGGGGAGUAAAAGGG